UGUUUUCUGUAGUGUAGUGGUUAUCACCAUUCGCUUUACACGCGAAAGGUCCCUGGUUCGUAACCGGGCAGAACAA
RNAcentral lists this transfer RNA (76 nucleotides) under Merluccius polli (Benguela hake). Its description in RNAcentral is "tRNA-Val". It matches the Rfam family "tRNA". Rfam says of the family: Transfer RNA (tRNA) molecules are approximately 80 nucleotides in length. Their secondary structure includes four short double-helical elements and three loops (D, anti-codon, and T loops). Lineage: Eukaryota; Metazoa; Chordata; Actinopteri; Gadiformes; Merlucciidae. The record is from RNAcentral.